Molecule: ribosomal RNA, 918 nt
Filed under: Enterobacter cloacae
Lineage: Bacteria; Pseudomonadati; Pseudomonadota; Gammaproteobacteria; Enterobacterales; Enterobacteriaceae
Description: bacterial SSU rRNA
Rfam family: Bacterial small subunit ribosomal RNA
Source: RNAcentral
CACAGAGAGCUUGCUCUCGGGUGACGAGUGGCGGACGGGUGAGUAAUGUCUGGGAAACUGCCUGAUGGAGGGGGAUAACUACUGGAAACGGUAGCUAAUACCGCAUAAUGUCGCAAGACCAAAGAGGGGGACCUUCGGGCCUCUUGCCAUCAGAUGUGCCCAGAUGGGAUUAGCUAGUAGGUGGGGUAACGGCUCACCUAGGCGACGAUCCCUAGCUGGUCUGAGAGGAUGACCAGCCACACUGGAACUGAGACACGGUCCAGACUCCUACGGGAGGCAGCAGUGGGGAAUAUUGCACAAUGGGCGCAAGCCUGAUGCAGCCAUGCCGCGUGUAUGAAGAAGGCCUUCGGGUUGUAAAGUACUUUCAGCGGGGAGGAAGGUGUUGUGGUUAAUAACCACAGCAAUUGACGUUACCCGCAGAAGAAGCACCGGCUAACUCCGUGCCAGCAGCCGCGGUAAUACGGAGGGUGCAAGCGUUAAUCGGAAUUACUGGGCGUAAAGCGCACGCAGGCGGUCUGUCAAGUCGGAUGUGAAAUCCCCGGGCUCAACCUGGGAACUGCAUUCGAAACUGGCAGGCUAGAGUCUUGUAGAGGGGGGUAGAAUUCCAGGUGUAGCGGUGAAAUGCGUAGAGAUCUGGAGGAAUACCGGUGGCGAAGGCGGCCCCCUGGACAAAGACUGACGCUCAGGUGCGAAAGCGUGGGGGAGCAAACAGGAUUAGAUACCCUGGUAGUCCACGCCGUAAACGAUGUCGAUUUGGAGGUUGUGCCCUUGAGGCGUGGCUUCCGGGAGCUAACGCGUUAAAUCGACCGCCUGGGGGAGUACGGGCCGCAAGGUUAAAACUCAAAUGAAUUUGACGGGGGCCCGCACAAGCGGUGGAGCAUGUGAUUAAUUCGAUGCACCGCGAAGGACCUUACCUGG